RNAcentral lists this ribosomal RNA (273 nucleotides) under uncultured bacterium. RNAcentral's name for it is "partial 16S ribosomal RNA". It matches the Rfam family "Bacterial small subunit ribosomal RNA", at positions 524 to 796 of the family's 1533-position model. The record is from RNAcentral.
UACGAAGGGUGCAAGCGUUAGUCGGAAUUACUGGGCGUAAAGCGUGCGUAGGCGGUUUCUUAAGUCGGAUGUGAAAGCCCUGGGCUCAACCUGGGAAUGGCACUCGAUACUGGGAAGCUGGAGUGCGGUAGAGGAGGGUGGAAUUCCCGGUGUAGCGGUGAAAUGCGUAGAGAUCGGGAGGAACAUCAGUGGCGAAGGCGACCCUCUGGACCAGCACUGACGCUGAGGCACGAAAGCGUGGGGAGCAAACAGGAUUAGAAACCCCCGUAGUCC